This 468-nucleotide ribosomal RNA is filed under the name uncultured bacterium. RNAcentral describes it as "partial 16S ribosomal RNA". It matches the Rfam family "Bacterial small subunit ribosomal RNA", at positions 28 to 507 of the family's 1533-position model. The record is from RNAcentral.
GACGAACGCUGGCGGCGUGCUUAACACAUGCAAGUCGAACGGAACGGCCCUGCUUUUGUGGGGUGCUCGAGUGGCGAACGGGUGAGUAACACGUGAGUAACCUGCCCUUGACUUUGGGAUAACUUCAGGAAACUGGGGCUAAUACCGGAUAGGAGCUCCUGCUGCAUGGUGGGGGUUGGACAGUUUCGGCGGUUGGGGAUUGACUCGCGUUUUUUCAGCUUGUUGGUGGGGUAGUGGCUUACCAAGGCUUUGAGGGGUAGCCGGCCUGAGAGGAUAACCGGCCACAUCAGGACAAAUAUACGACCGAGAUUACUUCGGGGGCAAGGAAGGGGUAAUACUGCACAGGUUGCGGACGCCAGAUAUAUCUAUCCCGGGGCGCAGAUAUCGGCCUUCAGUUGUUAACACGCUUUGGCCUGUCAAGAAGCCGGCGUGACGGUAAUGGGUAAAGAAGCACCGGCUAACUACGUG